RNAcentral lists this long non-coding RNA (3244 nucleotides) under Oryza brachyantha (malo sina). RNAcentral's name for it is "long non-coding RNA (OBRA_LNC000218)". Lineage: Eukaryota; Viridiplantae; Streptophyta; Magnoliopsida; Poales; Poaceae. The record is from RNAcentral.
CCUAGCUAGGUGCCAGUCUAAUUUGCCUCCUCUCCUCUCCUCUCCUCUCCUCUCCUCUACCCGAAAACUGAAACUUUAUCUGGUACGUAUCCCGUCAACCUUACACAAAAAAUAAUACUAUGUAUACGCUUCCCGGACCAAUACGGCUUCAUUCCCAUCUCCUCCAGCCACCCAUGCCCUCUCCUCCUCCUUCGCGUGCGUGCGAGCAGGCGUCACGAUCGGUGGAUAUCAGGCUGCUUCUGGGCUCAUCAACGUGGACACGGGGCCUGCAAGUGAGGGGAAUGUUCUUGUCAAUUGUCGAGGAGACAUGAUUGAGUUGUACCAUUGAUUAGAGCACACAUGUUUGUUUCAACACAGCAUUAUACAACAGGAGCGCUGAAAUUAGCCACGGCAGCAGACCGUACGGCGUUAAAAAUGGGCCACACGAUCGAGUACACCAUGGCAACUCCUCGGAAGCUACUAUUCACCGAUGAAACAAACACAUGCAUACAGCCAAUGAGUUCAGGCCAACUGCAUGCAUGCAUGCUGCUAAAGUUGCGUGUGGAUAACCUGUUUACCUACAGGACUAACAUUGCACAACACAACCUUUUUCCCCCGAAGACCCAUGAAGAUGCGUGCACCGUAAUGGAGAAUUCAUGGCUGCCUGAAAAAAAAAAGUUUUGGGGCUACAAAACUGUUUGCAUGAAUCAACAGAAAAGGCAAUCAUAUGUUGAGUUUAUUUUAUCAUUGGCAAUUAUUUGGUCUAUUGAGACUGACUCCAGAUCUAUAAUUCAUGUUGUUUUGGACAACAGUGUGGUCGAAUUUUUAAAAAUUUUGAUUAUCAACAAAUUUUAAAUAUUUCAUUUGAAAUACUAUGAAAACAUAUCUAUAAAUUGUCAAAAAAUGUAUUUUAAUAAAAAGCAAGAUAUUUGCUUAAUUUUUAUAUUUUUUAUUAAAAAAUCAUAUUAUCAUUGUUCAAAACAACAAUAAUUAUCAACAUGGAGAGUAUCAAAUAUAGAAAUUAAAGAAGAAAAAUGUAGAUAGAUCUCUGGAAAUAAAUGCAGACAAACAUGACAUUUUUGUUUGUUGAUCUCUAAUUAAUAUAGAUCACCUAGGGCUGUUAGGAAAAGCCAUAAGCAUUUUUUAAAAAAAAACUAGUGCAGCAAAAAUUGAUUGCUUAUAAGACAGUUGGUGGCUCCUUUACUAACAUGGAGGCCCAUAAAUAGAGCAUGCAGAUCAUGUCCAUGAAAAAAAAGUAAAAAAGACAAUUGGUUGGCAUCAGGACCAAAAGGGUCCACAUAAUCUGCAAGUUUGUACCAAUUCAAUGCUAGAUACCGAACAAAAAAGAGGGACGUAAGUCACGUAAGCAAUGGCAAUUUCUGGACUUUGCAUUGAGUCGUGCAGUUGAUUUCAGAAUUGUUAACGAAGUUUGUACCGCUGAAAUUAAAUUUCUAAUAAGCACAUAGUGAUAUUAACUGUUGAGAGUGGAUUAAGUGCUAAGCAUAAGCAAUGGGGGUGAUUAUUUGGGUUUUCAUGGAAAAAGCCAAACAAAAUAUUUGCAAACAAAAAAUAAUUUUUAAAUAAAAUUUUUAUAUACGUAUUUUUAGCGAUCUAAAAGCCAAUGGUGAAAAAUAAACUUUGGUGAAAACCUUAAAAUUAACUCUAAAUUUAAGAUUGAAAAUUCUAAUUUUGUCCUAUAAGUAUAAAAAUAAGUGAAAAGAUAGGGGUGGAAAUAUGCCUUUAAUUAAAAAACGGUUAUACAUUUACAGGUUAUCCCUCUUCUUCAGAAAAAAAAAGGAAACUCAGAAGCUCUGAUAUAAUCUUGUAGUCCGUAACAAAACCUACAAUGAUCAAUUUGUGACUAUUUCUUUGAUGUCUGAUUCUAUACUGAUCAAGUGAUCAGUGUCAGUGCUCGCAUACGUCAAAAGUGCUCAUAUGUAAGUCCCCUUACCAGUAAUGAAAGUCGACCACCAAGCAGUGGCCCAAAUGGAAAACAAGUAAUGAAGUUAUUCAAAACUGUAGCACUUGUCGUAGCAUUGCAUCAAAUGAAGCAGGCAUUCAGGAUAGACCACCCAAAGCAUAACUUAGAAUGGGACAAUUACAUUAAUUUGCCUAAAUUACUAAUCAAAUGCUUAUGAUGAUUACAGAACAUAAUUCAGUUUUAUAAGCAUAAACCUGUCAACUCUUAAUAAAAAUAAAGCACCACUUCAGGGCAUAUUGCUGAUGAAAACCAUAGUGUGAUUAUCCUAGAAUCAUGACCUAACUCUCCCAAGAUUUGGCAUCUAAGACAAUUGUUUAACAAAGUACUAAAGCUUUUCUCUUCUUUUGAGAGAGAGAGAGAGAAGCAACAUGAAAGCAUGGCAUCUAGUAUUAAAAAUCAUAGGCACGAGAUCAGGCACUUGUUUGAGCGCGUACGCUCAAAGUGAACGCACAGUAGUUAUGAGAUGGCAGCUCAUCCAUAAAAUGUAUGAAGUACUUGUGCUGCGCAACCAAAUCUACGUCCACCAAACCCAAACUAUGGUACUAUGGACUAUUAGAGCCUGAGCAAAGAUGAUAAAUAGUAGUCACCUUAAAAUAUACUAGCUCACGUAUGACAAGUUACCCACAAAUUAGCGGGAUCUAAGUAUCUAGCCGCCUAGUAGCUAGCCAAAUGGAGUAAUUAACUCGUCCAAUGUUUCCUAAUACCAUAAUAGAAAAAGAAAAUUUGGCCCUCCGCAUAGCCAUGUAAUAACAAAUUACACCGUUCAUUUUGCAAUGUACAUAUAUAUGAUAUAUGUACCAUUACUAUAUAGCUAGCUUAGUAGUUUUAUUAUUGUAGAGUCUACUCAUAGUGAGCCUAGCCUGAACCUUGAAACAAGAACUAAUGAACUAUAUACGACUUCUUUUGUGUUGUUUCCUAGCUCUUACUACCUCUGUCUCUCUCCAAGAAAACGCCUCGCUACCUCACAGCAUGAACAACUCAACAAACUUCAAGAACAGCAAAAGAGCAAGAAAACCGAGUGCAACGCAGUAACCAUGGGAAUCUAUCUAGCAGCUGCUCACCUUCCCCUCCGAGUCCACAUCGCGCUCCUUCCUUAGGAGGCCAUGGAGGCCUUGAGGAGGCCCGGCGGCCGACCCCAUCCGCGGCCAUUUACUCGGUCGGUCCUCGACGUCCUCCCGCUUGCUUGAGCUCUUGUGUCUCCGAAAGCCAGGAGGAGCAAACAAGUGGGCGCAAGGAAGAAGGGUUAAAACCAAGCAAAGAAAAGGAGGGCGGUCUACUCUUGUG